Molecule: transfer RNA, 61 nt
Filed under: Sacculina sp. 'Beibu Gulf'
Lineage: Eukaryota; Metazoa; Arthropoda; Thecostraca; Sacculinidae
Description: tRNA-Ile
Source: RNAcentral
AGUAAGGUGCCUGAUAAAAGGAUUAUUUUGAUAGAAUAAAUUAUAGUUUUACUUCUUACUU